RNAcentral lists this small nuclear RNA (37 nucleotides) under Cervus elaphus hippelaphus. Lineage: Eukaryota; Metazoa; Chordata; Mammalia; Artiodactyla; Cervidae. The record is from RNAcentral.
ACCGCUUCUCGGCCUUUUGGCUAAGAUCAAGUAUAAU